UAAUUGAAGAGUUUGAUCAUGGCUCAGAUUGAACGCUGGCGGCAGGCCUAACACAUGCAAGUCGAGCGGUAACAGGAGAAAGCUUGCUUUCUUGCUGA
RNAcentral lists this ribosomal RNA (98 nucleotides) under Proteus mirabilis. Its description in RNAcentral is "partial 16S ribosomal RNA". It matches the Rfam family "Bacterial small subunit ribosomal RNA", at positions 1 to 94 of the family's 1533-position model. Lineage: Bacteria; Pseudomonadati; Pseudomonadota; Gammaproteobacteria; Enterobacterales; Morganellaceae. The record is from RNAcentral.